This 408-nucleotide long non-coding RNA is filed under the name Callithrix jacchus (white-tufted-ear marmoset). Its description in RNAcentral is "lncRNA (ENSCJAG00000055539.2)". The record is from RNAcentral. Lineage: Eukaryota; Metazoa; Chordata; Mammalia; Primates; Cebidae.
CAGUACCAUGUUAAAUAAAAGUAGUGAAAAUACGUUUUCUUUUCUUUUUGCAGAUCUUAGAGAGAAAGGUUUCAGCUAUUCCCAAUUCAGUGUGAUGUGAGCUGUGGAUAUCACUGAAAUCUGGUAGAGGAAUGUCAAUCCAAAAGAAAUCAAGGAAAUCAAGGAGAAAACAGCAGACAAAAUUGUCCAACACCUUUUUUUUCAAGAUGAAAAACAGUUCUGAAAACUUACUGAAAUCAUCCAGUCCUGCUGCUUUCCUUCUCAACAGAUUUUUCCUUGCUAUUAAAAAACAAUUUCAUCAUCAAUGCAAGAGACACAUUCUGAAUAUCUUUCUUAAACCUGAUAUCGUUCUAAAUAUGGUAUACACACAAGCUAUCAAACAAGAAAUCUCUGCUUUAUGAAGUUUAC